Molecule: long non-coding RNA, 3343 nt
Filed under: Nicotiana tabacum (common tobacco)
Lineage: Eukaryota; Viridiplantae; Streptophyta; Magnoliopsida; Solanales; Solanaceae
Description: long non-coding RNA (NTAB_LNC001295)
Rfam family: Small nucleolar RNA R160 (bases 565-640)
Source: RNAcentral
AAAACCAAAAUAACUAUUCCAGCAUAAUUAAUCUCAAUAUAACUAAUUCCACAUGACUUGUUAGGAUAAACCAAAUGACACAAUAAACCAAACCAAAUGACUCCUUAGGAUAAGGUUAAAGGGCAGGGAACGUCGUCGUUUAGGCGAUACACUUAAUAAACCAAACCAAAACCCUAAUCCCAUCCCUAUAAAGUAACCAUUAUAAUCCUCAACAGUCAAAGAGCUUGCAGUCAUGGCUUCCAGCAAUCACAAAUGUCGAAAGAACCUAGAAAAAAAAUUAGAGCAUAAUCUCUGAGCGCCGGUACGGUAGUAAAUUGCUUGUAAUUUCCACACACACACAAAAAGCAGUGGCUAAAAUAUAGUGUGCACCAAAUAGCCCUUUGCAAUAUAAAGUUUGUUAUUGCAGAGAAAACACGAGCUAAGGUACUUUCUGGUGCAAAGCUAAUUUUUUUGGCAAAACUUUUGGCUGAAUUAUUUAGCCAUUUAUUCAGCUUUAUUUUGCCAAAAUAAAAGCUUAUUGUUUGUAGUUUAAAUUUUGUGUUUAUGUUGAAUUUAAGAUUGGCAAGCAAAGUGAUGAGAAUCUAUUAGCUGAAUUAUAUGUUGAAUUUACAUAUAUAGCCUUCAAAGUUCUCUGAUUGCAUUGCUCAAUUUUUUUUCCUAAUAUGUAACUAUUAUAGUGCUACCAAAUAAAUAUUUUCAUUGCAAGGUGUGCAAUGAGUAGUUUUGUUUGUCAAAUUUUGUGAUUUUGACUAAAGUCAAACAGUUAAAUUGAAUGGAUGGGGUUGGUUGAUUAUUCGAAAUACUUGUUUGUUUAUUUCUUUAUUUUUGAGCAUAUUUAUUUAAAUUUUGCAAAGCAAAAUGAUGAUGAACUAUUAGCCUAAUUUUAUGCUGAAGAAACAUAUGAUAUGCCUUCAAAGUUCUCUGAUUGACCCUAGUUAGAGUGAUAUUAUUGUUAAUCUUGUUAUAAAUUUUAAUGAAAAUACCUUACUUUUGCUUAGAAAAUGAAAUAUCGUUUAGCUGUCUUGGUGUAUAAAUUGUAAUAUGAGUACAUUGGAUCUAUUUUAGCUUUAACAUAAUGCUCCUUAUAACCUCAUUUGGUUAGGACCUUCCAUGGGGUCGCCAAAGUGAGUGCUCAUUGAUCAUCAGUAUUUGUUUUGAUGAUGUGGUUGGAGUGUCUGGAGUUAAAUAAGAUGGAUACAAUGCUGUCCUACUGUAAUUAUCUAGUUAGUUGGAAAAACAAGAUAAAUUUUGUAUAGGGUUUUUUGGGGUAUUUUCAGUUGGAAGUUUUGAUCUGACUAACAUGAAGGAUUUGAGCACCAAAAUACAUGGUCUGUCGUUUUAUACUAUCGUCAAACUAUACGAGCAUGGUGCUACAUUAAGGGUUUUCUUAUUAUAUGUUGCUACUUGACUCUUCAUGUUAAAUCAGCGGCAAAGGAUGUUUUGUGAAUAAGAAAUACAUUGAUCACAUUUUAAAACUACAAUCAUGUUCCUUAGUUUUAUGUGUUGUUACUGUCUGCCCUGUUGCAUUUCCCUAAUUUCCAUGAACUUUCACUCUAAUGAAACCCUAGUACUAUAAUAGAAUGGAGCUAGGGUGCGGCAUCCCCUGAUUUGAAAAUAAUGUUAAAGUCUAUGUUGCGCGGACUCUACAAAAUGUAGCCGCACCCGUGUCGGAUCUUUCAAAAAUGCACUAUUUUUGGAGGAUCCGACACGUAUCCGGCCACAUUUUCGGAUAGUCCGAGCAACAUAGGUUAAAGUGGCACUAAUUGCUUCUAGAAAAGGUUAUGUGGAAAAGUAUAAUCAUGAACAUUUUUUUGCCUUUUUUUUGUAUAAGACCUGUAUGAUAUUUGCCCUAAAAUAGCAGGCGAUAGUGUUUGGAGAGAUGGCGGUGACAUGUUUAAAUUUAUAGGAUACAUUUUAUUGUCUUCUCUGUUAUUCUGAACUUGGUUAAACAGAACAAGGGCUACUGAUAUUGAGAAAAUUUACUGAAAGUAAGAGGAUUGCUGUUUGCUUUUGCUUCUGUUAUCUAAUUCUUUGAAGAUUGAUUAGUUGUCUUGACUGAUGUAAAGGUUUUUGAACACCAAAAUACAGAGUCUGUCGAUUUAUACUUGCCCUCAGACUAUACGAGCAUGGUGCUACAUCAAGUAUUUCUUAUUAUCUGUUGUCACUUGAAUCUCAUUUUCUAUCAGUGGCUAAGGAUGUUUUUAGAAUAAGAAAGACAUAUCUUGCAUCUUUAAGCUAUAAGCUUGGUCCUCACUUCUUAUAGAGUCUUCUAUAACCAAUGUUUGUAAACCAGUUCUAUGGUAAAGUUGUAUUUUUACAUUUAAACUUCAAUGUUCCUCAUUUCCCUAAUCUCCAUGACCUUUAGACUAUACUAUGGCUGUCCAACGGGACGGGACAAAAUUAGCGGGACGGGAUGAAACGGUCAUCCCAUCCUGUCCCGCUAACAAACGGGGUGCGGGGGGUACGGUUUCGUGGGCCUUAACUGUUUUUGUUUUAAAAUAAUGUUUAGUUUUUUGAAAAUGACUAAGUUUUUAAAAUUUGCAACAGCUAGUUUUUUGACUUAUUUAACAAAUUUAAAUGUUAAAAUGAAAGUUAGAAAACUAAGUAAAGAGUUAUAAAAUAUUAAAACAAAAGAUUUGUAAUGAAAUAUUCUAGUAAUUAUAAAUUUAUAAUAGAGUUAUUAUUUAUUUAAUAUAAUUUCAAAUAUUAAGUAAUUAAGACAAUUUAUAAAAAAAAUUUUAAUGCUUAGAACCUUUUAUUUUAUUAAUGGAACUUUCAAAUUUCAAAUACAAAUAUUUUUUUUUUGAAAAACAGUUAAUUUAUGCAGUUACCAUCUAGGAAGAGUUCUGGUUGAACUAGGCCUCUUAGUAGCCAAUUAUAAUUAUCAUAAUAAUAUUUGUAAGUUUCUAUAUAGCUUCUUUGUAACUUAUCAAUUAUAUCUUUUGGACAUUCUGCUGGAAUUGACAAUGUUGAUUGAUGUUCCAUGAGCUCCAUGCUGUCAUCGCUCCCGGUGCUAAGUAUCUCAUUGUAUUCUUCUUCUUCCCUAGUGGUUAAUUUUUCAAAACCAAGAUUUCUUCUUUCUGAAUUAAUUCAAUCUCUGAAUAAUACGGAAAUCUCUAGACUGUCCUCUCCUAUUGCAUGUCUAUGAUCUCCAAUUUAAAUCUUGCCGCGCUAAAAAUAUUGUUUCAAAGACUUGACGAAUUAAUUUGAAGCUUGAAAGUUGCUCCAAAAUUUGCCCAAAUAUGAAACUUGAAAGUUAUCACUUGAUUGUUGAUACUAGGGAUGUACAAAGGAAACCGACAAACCGCACCAAACCGAUAAUCCAAGUCAAACAAAAAAAAAA